AGAGUUUGAUCAUGGCUCAGAACGAACGCUGGCGGCAUGCCUAACACAUGCAAGUCGAACGGGAUCCUAGCUUGCUAGGUGAGAGUGGCGGACGGGUGAGUAACACGUGGGAAUCUGCCUUUUGGUUCGGGAUAACCGCGGGAAACUGCGGCUAAUACCGAAUGCCCUCGAGAGAGGAAAGAUUUAUCGCCAGAAGAGGAGCCCGCGUCCGAUUAGGUAGUUGGUGGGGUAAAGGCCUACCAAGCCGACGAUCGGUAGCUGGUCUGAGAGGAUGAUCAGCCACACUGGGACUGAGAUACGGCCCAGACUCCUACGGGAGGCAGCAGUGGGAAUAUUGGACAAUGGGGCAACCCUGAUCCAGCAAUGCCGCGUGAGUGAUGAAGGCCUUAGGGUUGUAAAGCUCUUUUCGCCAGGGAAGAUGAUGACUGUACCUGGAGAAUAAGCCCCGGCUAACUUCGUG
This 460-nucleotide ribosomal RNA is filed under the name uncultured bacterium. Its description in RNAcentral is "bacterial SSU rRNA". It matches the Rfam family "Bacterial small subunit ribosomal RNA", at positions 8 to 507 of the family's 1533-position model. The record is from RNAcentral.